UACAGAGGGGGCUAGCGUUGUUCGGAAUUACUGGGCGUAAAGGGCGCGUAGGCGGCCCGCUAAGUCGAACGUGAAAUCCCCGGGCUCAACCCGGGAACUGCGUCCGAUACUGGCAGGCUUGAAUCCGGGCGAGGGAUGUGGAAUUCCAGGUGUAGCGGUGAAAUGCGUAGAUAUCUGGAGGAACACCGGUGGCGAAGGCGGCAUCCUGGACCGGUAUUGACGCUGAGGCGCGAAAGCCAGGGGAGCAAACGGG
RNAcentral lists this ribosomal RNA (253 nucleotides) under uncultured bacterium. RNAcentral describes it as "partial 16S ribosomal RNA". It matches the Rfam family "Bacterial small subunit ribosomal RNA", at positions 524 to 776 of the family's 1533-position model. The record is from RNAcentral.